Ananas comosus (pineapple) is the source of this 996-nucleotide long non-coding RNA. RefSeq lists it as uncharacterized. NCBI's taxonomy places the organism in Eukaryota, Viridiplantae, Streptophyta, Magnoliopsida, Poales, Bromeliaceae. The transcript is spliced from 4 exons. The record is from RefSeq and is a predicted model, not a curated record.
GAAUUGAUUGUUCUUGCUGAAAAUUCAGACUUGGAGCUGAAAAAUUGCAAUCUUGGUAGAAUUUGGUGAAUUCCUGCAGCAGUGACCCUUUGGAAUUGCUGCGAGUAGUGGAAUAAUCGAAGCUUUAGCUGAGUGCAACCUGAUUGAAACCUAAAUUAAGCAUUAGAGUUUUGAACUGCUGGUAGCUGCCAAGUGAAGUGAAUUCUCUGGUGCAGUCCUGCUGUCCGAGUUGUGAAGUAGGGCUGAAAUUGGUACUUCAAGUCGUCGAUGCGCUAAUUUCGGUAGAGACCGUUCUAGUUCCAUUGACACUCAGUCGUGAGAGAUAGUCGUCGACACAUCUCGAGAUAUCGAUCUUAGUUGAGUGACACCACUACAGGUGGGUGGUGCUAUCCGAAGUCUUUGAAUCACCUUUUAUGUCUAUGGUUUUCCAUUGAGCAUAUUACUUGUAUUCAUGCAUCAUAGGGUAGUGAUAUUAUGCAAGUGAUAUUUGAAUUUGUGAAUGCUUAUCAAUGUUGAGAAAAUGUGAACUUAGAAUGUGGACAUAGAACCCUAUGAAUGUAUGGACUAUAACAAUAGUGAACUUGGUGACAUUCUAACUAGAGAUUGAGUUAGCAUCAAGAAAUGAAUUUGUGAAACUAGCAUAAAGAACUAGUUAGAGUAAAGUGUGACAGUGUUCGUCAGUUGAAUCCUCUAAAGGGGGAUCAGAUCAUACUCACAUUUGUUUGGUUCAAGUGAGGUCGCUCCUCCUUGAACGAUGAGCUCCGGAGUAGUCAUCUUUACUGGACCAGGAGGUGCGUCUCCCCCAGUUGACAAUCCCGUCGGGUGCAGGUGCGUCUCCCCGAUAUUUGGGAUAGCGUCAGUGAGUAAUUGUUAACCAGAGGGUUAACCAAAAUGAAUUGGGUAAAUUCAGUGAAAGCAUGCAUACAUAUUUACAGUUUUCAUAUAUAUUGCUUUCUUUCAGCUUUGUACAGGCAUUGUAGUAGUUACAUAUAUAGU